This 306-nucleotide ribosomal RNA is filed under the name Shigella flexneri. Its description in RNAcentral is "partial 16S ribosomal RNA". It matches the Rfam family "Bacterial small subunit ribosomal RNA", at positions 1 to 304 of the family's 1533-position model. Lineage: Bacteria; Pseudomonadati; Pseudomonadota; Gammaproteobacteria; Enterobacterales; Enterobacteriaceae. The record is from RNAcentral.
AAAUUGAAGAGUUUGAUCAUGGCUCAGAUUGAACGCUGGCGGCAGGCCUAACACAUGCAAGUCGAACGGUAACAGGAAGCGCUUGCUGCUUCGCUGACGAGUGGCGGACGGGUGAGUAAUGUCUGGGAAACUGCCUGAUGGAGGGGGAUAACUACUGGAAACGGUAGCUAAUACCGCAUAACGUCGCAAGACCAAAGAGGGGGACCUUCGGGCCUCUUGCCAUCGGAUGUGCCCAGAUGGGAUUAGCUUGUUGGUGGGGUAACGGCUCACCAAGGCGACGAUCCCUAGCUGGUCUGAGAGGAUGAC